RNAcentral lists this long non-coding RNA (1222 nucleotides) under Anas platyrhynchos platyrhynchos (common mallard). RNAcentral describes it as "lncRNA (ENSAPLG00000023359.1)". Lineage: Eukaryota; Metazoa; Chordata; Aves; Anseriformes; Anatidae. The record is from RNAcentral.
GGCUCCCCUCGGUCCUACAAGGAGCGCUGGAGGUGCUGCUCGGCCAGGAGCCUUUGCACCUCUGCUUCGCGUGGGAGGCGCCUUCAGCCUGCAGGGCAGCGAGAGGAAGGGUUUGUUCCUCCCGAGCGAGGACCCAGCUCCGGCCAGAGGGACCGGCCCCGUGCGGGAAGGAUGAAGUCAUCCCUGUGCCGCCGGCCCUAUUUGUCUGUCGCCGGCGGGGCGCAGGACGGGGCCCUAAAUACAGCUCCCCUGUCACCCGCGGGCUCGGCGAGGGGCUCACGGGGUCCCAAAAGGCAUCCGAUGGGCGUAGAGGGUCAGAGGGACUGCCCUUGGGCACGGCCCGAGCGAUCCCGCGUGCUUCUUGCCCUGGGUUUGGGCCACGGGGAGGCUAAGGGAACGCGGAGUUCAUCCCAGGCCUCCUCGCCGUGCCUCUCCUGCUCACACCCCGGCCCCUCCAUCCUGCGGGAGCCCUUCCCGGUGACUCAGCCGCCCUCUUAACUCUUGCCUCCCGGCCCCGGGUGCUUUCAGGUGCCGGCAGCCCGCGGGGCUCACGUUUUCCUCUGCCCUGCUGUGGCUGCUGCAGGGGGGGGUGCAGGAGCGCUGCCAGGCUCCCCGCCGCUGGCACCCAGCUCGCUGCCAGGCUGACGGGGCUGCGCCUUCCCCGCCUCCAGGUCUAUCUCAGGAAGGAUGUGGACGGGGAGGAUGACAAGCAGGAGGCUGCGAGCCCCCACUCCGGCGGGUUCUGCUCCCCGCUGGACAGAGGGUCCCCCUUGGAGGCGGCGGAGGGCUGGGUGCGAGGCAAGCUGCGGGACCUGAAGGACGGCUGCGAGCUGCAGGGCUGGGAGCAGGUGGCGCAGGCCCUGCAGAGGGAGAUGAAGGACUUCGACAACACCCUCAUCAAGCUCAGCCAGAUGGGCGAGCAGCUGGCGGACAGGCCCAGCCCCGGCGGCGAGGCGGUGCGGAGGCAGCUGCAGGCGCUGCGGGAGCAGUGGCAGCUCCUGAAGCAGACGGCCGCCAGCCAGAGCAGGGCCCUGGGGGGGCUGCGCAGCCUGCAGGACUUCAGCAGGAAGGCGGAGAGCCUGGAGGCGUGGAUCCGCAGCAAGGAGGAGAAGCCCUGCCUGGCGGCACUCCUGCAGGAAAGCCCGGAGAAGAUCCAGCUCACCCGCCGCAUCCUCGACUUGAAGCAGGUGGGCACAGCUCGGCUCCAUCUCGCAGCCCGUGC